This 499-nucleotide ribosomal RNA is filed under the name Euclosiana exquisita. RNAcentral describes it as "partial large subunit ribosomal RNA". It matches the Rfam family "Bacterial large subunit ribosomal RNA", at positions 1833 to 2582 of the family's 2925-position model. The record is from RNAcentral. Lineage: Eukaryota; Metazoa; Arthropoda; Malacostraca; Decapoda; Leucosiidae.
GUCUUCUGGGAGAUAUAAGAAGUCUGGCCUGCUCACUGAUAAAUUUAUUAAAGAGCUGCGGUAUAUUGACUGUACAAAGGUAGCAUAAUCAUUAGUUUUUUAAUUGAAAACUUGUAUGAAUGGUUUGACAAAAUAAAUAUUGUCUCUUUUAUUGAAAUAAAAUUUAACUUUUAAGUGAAAAGGCUUAAAUUGUUCUAAGGGACGAUAAGACCCUAUAAAGCUUUAUAUUUGUAUUUUAUUUUAAAAAAUUAAAUUAAUUGUAAAUUUAAGAUAUUUUAAUUGAUUGGGGCGGUGUAUAAAUAAUUUAUUUAACUUUAUUAAGUUAUAACAUUUUAUGUGUGGAGUAAUUAAUAGAUCCUUGUUAAAGAUUAAAGUAAAGUUACUUUAGGGAUAACAGCGUUAUUUUUUUUGAGAGUUCAUAUCGAAAAAAAAGAUUGCGACCUCGAUGUUGAAUUAAAAAUUCUGCUUAGUGUAGCCGCUAAGAUAAGAAGGUCUGUUC